GGGGGAGCACUGUCCAGCAGCUGGGGUAAGACGGAUGGGGCGGGUGGUAUCCGCGGUCAUUGGGCGGAAAGCGCGCGUAGGCGGGGCGCUAAGCGGGACCGCUAACCCGGGGGCUCAACCCCCGGCCGGGUCCCGAACUGGCGCUCUCGAGUGCGGUAGGGGAGAGCGGAAGUCCCGGUGUAGCGGUGGAAUGCGCAGAUAUCGGGAAGAACACCGACGGCGAAGGCAGCUCUCUGGGCCGAAACUGACGCUGAGGCGCGAAAGCUGGGGGAGCGAACAGGAUUAGAUACCCCGGUAGUC
RNAcentral lists this ribosomal RNA (300 nucleotides) under uncultured Bacillus sp. RNAcentral's name for it is "bacterial SSU rRNA". It matches the Rfam family "Bacterial small subunit ribosomal RNA", at positions 495 to 795 of the family's 1533-position model. The record is from RNAcentral. Lineage: Bacteria; Bacillati; Bacillota; Bacilli; Caryophanales; Bacillaceae.